UCCAGAGAGACCUGGGUUUGAGCCCUACCACGCUCAUUGAGAUGAAUGGCAUCAGGCUUUUCGGCAGGCAUCUUCAGCAGCGUAAAAGUGCCCUCUGCCCGAGGAGAUGCUCAGCUACGCCCGGGAUGACACCCAUUACCUGCUAUAUAUCUAUGACAAAAUGAGGCUGGAGAUGUGGGAGCGCGGCAACGGGCAGCCCGUGCAGCUGCAGGUGGUGUGGCAACGGAGCAGGGACAUCUGCCUCAAGAAAUUCAUCAAACCUAUCUUCACGGAUGAGUCCUACCUUGAACUCUAUAGGAAGCAGAAGAAGCACCUUAACACACAGCAGUUGACAGCCUUUCAGCUGCUGUUUGCCUGGAGGGAUAAAACAGCUCGCAGGGAAGAUGAAAGUUACGGGUAAGGGAUUAGAGGUUCUUUUAAUACUUGUUUCCAGACUGAGGAGAUCUAAUAACAAGUAAA
RNAcentral lists this small RNA (459 nucleotides) under Pan troglodytes (chimpanzee). RNAcentral's name for it is "processed transcript". Lineage: Eukaryota; Metazoa; Chordata; Mammalia; Primates; Hominidae. The record is from RNAcentral.